This 89-nucleotide transfer RNA is filed under the name Garciella nitratireducens DSM 15102. RNAcentral's name for it is "tRNA_Ser_TGA". It matches the Rfam family "tRNA". From Rfam's summary of the family: Transfer RNA (tRNA) molecules are approximately 80 nucleotides in length. Their secondary structure includes four short double-helical elements and three loops (D, anti-codon, and T loops). Further hydrogen bonds mediate the characteristic L-shaped molecular structure. tRNAs have two regions of fundamental functional importance: the anti-codon, which is responsible for specific mRNA codon recognition, and the 3' end, to which the tRNAs corresponding amino acid is attached (by aminoacyl-tRNA synthetases). tRNAs cope with the degeneracy of the genetic code in two manners: having more than one tRNA (with a specific anti-codon) for a particular amino acid; and 'wobble' base-pairing, i.e. permitting non-standard base-pairing at the 3rd anti-codon position. The record is from RNAcentral. Lineage: Bacteria; Bacillati; Bacillota; Clostridia; Eubacteriales; Eubacteriaceae.
GGAGGGGUGUCCGAGUGGUUUAAGGAGCUGGUCUUGAAAACCAGUGAUCCCGAGAGGGACCGUGGGUUCGAAUCCCACCCCCUCCGCCA